CUCUGUCUGUCUCUCUCUCUCAAGGAUAAAUAAACAUUAAAAAAAAAUUUUUUUUUUAAAGAUGAUGCAGGUGGAAAGGAUGCUCCAGUAGCUCCUUUGCAGGAAUACUACCCAAUCCAAAGUUCUGAUUUUUGGAAGGGGGUGGAUGGUGACAACGGGGAAUGAUUGUCAGAAGAAGUGAUGUCUGUGCUGAGACGCGAAUAAUAAACUAGAAGUUAGCCAGGUCAAAGUUUGGGGAAGGGAGACAAAUCGGGUAUUCUUGGCAGAAGAGACAGUAUGAGUCUAGGCACCGAGGCAAGAAAAAACACAGUUCUGUUAAAGAAUUGGAAGAAGUUCAGUCUCUUUGGAGUACUCUCUAAGAAGAAUGUGUCAAGAGUCUACAGAGGUGGUCACAUUCAGAGCUAAGCCCCUUUAUGUUUGGGACUUUAUUCUAGGCGGGGUCUAUAGCAGGGGAUUGACAUCACAAAGACCCCUCUGGCUUCAUAGUCAAGCAUGGACUGGCUGGGGGAGCAGUCAGAGGGUUACUGCAGAAAUUGAGGUGAGAAAUCAUCUUGGCCUCUGCUAGAGUAGGACAGAAGCCCUAAAGAGAAGUUGGAUGAAUUGGAGAGACCAUGGAGAAAUCGCUCACUGCGUCCAGAAUGGCAAUUGCACAGAUGCUGGUUGUGUCACUCUUGAAGGCUUAACUGAAGAAUGUUGAAUGAAGGAACCAUUUACAGAAGAGCAGGCUGUGUUAGAAGAACCAGCAAUGGAUGGAGAAGCACCCAGGUCUUAGCAACUGGGAAGCUGCUUCCACCCCAGGGACCGAGGAGAAGAGAAAGUUUCUGUGAGCUGGUCUCCUGUUCUUGCUUCUGAGUGGUUGCUGACAACUGGAAGGCAGAGUCUAGGGAGCCUGAGUGAUGUGCUUAGUACAUCGAGUUUUACUCUUGGAGCACAGAGCAAGGCAGAGAAGGGCAGAGAAUGAAUCUGGAGAAAGCAGAGACAAAAAAUAAAAUCGCAAAAAGUGUA
Molecule: long non-coding RNA, 1005 nt
Organism: Herpailurus yagouaroundi (jaguarundi)
Lineage: Eukaryota; Metazoa; Chordata; Mammalia; Carnivora; Felidae
Exons: 3
Source: RefSeq, a predicted model, not a curated record